AUUGAACGCUGGCGGCAGGCCUAACACAUGCAAGUCGAGCGAGCCGCGGGCGGGUGAGUAAUGUAUGGGGACUGCCCGAUAGAGGGGGAUAACUACUGGAAACCGUAGCUAAAACCGCAUACUAUCGGAUACUCCAUAUGGGCUUAGCUAGUAGGUGGGGUAAUGGCUCACCUAGGCGACGAUCCCUAGCUGGUCUGAGAGGAUGAUCAGCCACACGGGGACUUGGACACGGCCCAGACUCCGACGGAGGCAGCAGUGGGGAAUAUUGCACAAUGGGCGCAAGCCUGAUGCAGCCAAGCCGCGUGGAUGAAGAAGGCCCUAGGGGUGUAAAGUACUUUCAGUCGGGAGGCGUUACCGACAGAAGAAGCACCGGCUAACUCCGUGCCAGCAGCCGCGGUAAUUC
This 403-nucleotide ribosomal RNA is filed under the name uncultured bacterium. RNAcentral describes it as "partial 16S ribosomal RNA". It matches the Rfam family "Bacterial small subunit ribosomal RNA", at positions 30 to 526 of the family's 1533-position model. The record is from RNAcentral.